GUGAGUCAUCGAAUCUUUGAACGCACAUUGCGCCCGCUAGUAUUCUGGCGGGCAUGCCUGUUCGAGCGUCAUUUCAACCCUCAAGCCCCCGGGCUUGGUGUUGGGGAUCGGCGAGCCUCUGCGCCCGCCGUCCCCCAAAUUUAGUGGCGGUCACGUUGUAACUUCCUCUGCGUAGUAGCACACUUAGCACUGGGAAACAGCGCGGCCACGCCGUAAAACCCCCAACUUUUGAACGUUUGACCUCGAAUCAGGUAGGAAUACCCGCUGAACUUAAGCAUAUCAAUAAGCGGAGGA
RNAcentral lists this unclassified non-coding RNA (294 nucleotides) under Dactylonectria sp. RNAcentral's name for it is "partial contains 5.8S ribosomal RNA, internal transcribed spacer 2, and large subunit ribosomal RNA". The stretch from base 1 to 71 matches the Rfam family "5.8S ribosomal RNA", at positions 84 to 154 of the family's 154-position model. The record is from RNAcentral. Lineage: Eukaryota; Fungi; Ascomycota; Sordariomycetes; Hypocreales; Nectriaceae.